Molecule: ribosomal RNA, 450 nt
Filed under: uncultured bacterium
Lineage: Bacteria
Description: partial 16S ribosomal RNA
Rfam family: Bacterial small subunit ribosomal RNA
Source: RNAcentral
GUCGAGAAUAAUUCACAAUGGACGAAAGUCUGAUGGUGCAACGCCGCGUGGAGGAUGAAGGUCUUCGGAUUGUAAACUCCUGUCAUCGGGGAGUAAGACCUGGCGGUAAAUAGCCGACAGGGUUGAUAGUACCCGAAGAGGAAGGGACGGCUAACUUCGUGCCAGCAGCCGCGGUAAUACGAAGGUCCCAAGCGUUGUUCGGAAUCACUGGGCGUAAAGGGAGCGUAGGCGGCGUGGUAAGUCAGAUGUGAAAUCCCGGGGCUCAACCCCGGAACUGCAUCCGAUACUGCCAUGCUUGAGGGUUGGAGAGGUAGCUGGAAUUCUCGGUGUAGCAGUGAAAUGCGUGGAUAUCGAGAGGAACACUCGUGGCGAAGGCGAGCUACUGGACAACAUCUGACGCUGAGGCUCGAAGGCCAGGGGAGCAAAAGGGAUUAGAAACCCUGGUAGUCC